RNAcentral lists this ribosomal RNA (347 nucleotides) under Cycloclasticus sp. RNAcentral describes it as "bacterial SSU rRNA". It matches the Rfam family "Bacterial small subunit ribosomal RNA", at positions 1 to 346 of the family's 1533-position model. The record is from RNAcentral. Lineage: Bacteria; Pseudomonadati; Pseudomonadota; Gammaproteobacteria; Thiotrichales; Piscirickettsiaceae.
AAACUGAAGAGUUUGAUCAUGGCUCAGAUUGAACGCUGGCGGCAUGCCUAACACAUGCAAGUCGAACGGAAACGAUGCUAGCUUGCUAGCAGGCGUCGAGUGGCGGACGGGUGAGUAAUGCAUAGGAAUCUACCUAAUAGUGGGGGACAACCUGGUGAAAACCAGGCUAAUACCGCAUAAUCCCUACGGGGCAAAGCAGGGGACCUUCGGGCCUUGCGCUAAUAGAUGAGCCUAUGUCGGAUUAGCUUGUUGGUGGGGUAAUGGCCUACCAAGGCGACGAUCCGUAGCUGGUCUGAGAGGAUGAUCAGCCACACUGGGACUGAGACACGGCCCAGACUCCUACGGGA